RNAcentral lists this ribosomal RNA (550 nucleotides) under uncultured bacterium. Its description in RNAcentral is "bacterial SSU rRNA". It matches the Rfam family "Bacterial small subunit ribosomal RNA", at positions 478 to 1027 of the family's 1533-position model. The record is from RNAcentral.
CCUACAAAAGAAGCACCGACUAACUAUGUGCCAGCAGCCGCGGUAAUACAUAGAGUGCAAGCGUUGUCCGGAAUUAUUGGGCGUAAAGAGCUCGUAGGUCGUUUGUUACGUCGGAUGUGAAAACCUGAGGUUCAACCUCAGGCCUGCAUUCGAUACGGGCAAACUAGAGUUUGGUAGGGGAGACUGGAAUUCCUGGUGUAGCGGUGGAAUGCGCAGAUAUCAGGAGGAACACCAAUGGCGAAGGCAGGUCUCCGGGCCAAUACUGACACUGAGGAGCGAAAGUAUGGGGAACGAACAGGAUUAGUUACCCUGGUAGUCCAGACCGUUAACGGUGCGCACUAGUUGUGGGAACCUUCCACGGUUUCUGCGACGCAGCUAACGCAUUAAGUGCCCCGCCUGGGGAGUACGAUCGCAAGAUUAAAACUCAAAGGAAUUGACGGGGCCCCGCACAAGCAGCGGAGCAUGCGGCUUAAUUCGACGCAACGCGAAGAACCUUACCAAGGCUUGACAUAUAGCGAAAAGUGGCAGAGAUGUCAUGUCCGCAAGGGCU